CCUCUCGACUCGUUCUCCUUUUGAGUCUUUGACCGCUACCGGUGUGAGUGGGAUGCCAAUUGAAGGGUGUGCAAAAUGAACCCAUCAGGCCGAGCGAUUUGGUCCGGUUUACUUUUGUCUAAUGGGUUUAAGGGUUAUCUAACAUUUUCGAAAACCAAACAUCUUCCAAUUUGGUUUGAGUUACAGCUUAAAAAAAAGGUCACGUCAGUAAAUAUGUAGUAGUACACAUAUAACGUGGGAAUUAAACUAUUUGGAUACGUACAUUUGAUGUUUAAGAUGCAUAAAUAAAUCUACAAUUUUUGUCAACCAACCAAAGUUGUUGACGGCAGACCCAAAAGAGGCCCCGCGGCACACUUGACUGCCAUGUGAAUUGUGAUCGGAGGCUGCUGCGGGGCGUAGCAAGAUGUUGCUGGUUGACGAUGGACGGUUCGGAUGUUGCGAUGGAGCGACUUCCGUGCUACUGCUACAGAUCGUCGAAGACGGUCGACGGAAAUGGAAGGGUGGUGGUGGAGGAGGUGGGAAGGGGAAUCCGCCGCCAUUUGACACUUCUCUCGUUACCCUCUCAAGAUCAUUCUACCCAACAAGGUCUAGUCCUCGUCGCCGCCACCGCCGCUGUCUUUACACUUCUUUACGCGGGCCAUUCCCCCUCCAUCCAUUUACUUUCAUCUCCACCGAUCGACGGCUGAUCUUCGAUCUCACUCUUGGUCAAAAUGCGAUGAUUUAGCCGUUUCCUUUUCUUUCCCCUUUUGAUAGCGAGAUGGAGCCUCGUCGGCGAUGGUGCAUCGUACGCUUCUACCAAGGUUUGAUUCAUUCAUCCUCAUUCCAUUUAUUUCAUCUUAUUAAUUCAGGUAGGGUGUGGCCAGUAGAUCAGGGGAAUAAAAAGGAAAAACUAAGGGAAGCAAAUCUUAAUCGAUUACACUUAUGGAAGCAUGGCAUAACAAAGGUGAGGUUUCUGCACUGUUAUCGUUUUCAGUCGAUUGUUCUUAGUGGUUAUUACAAAUGCAUUAGUCAAUCUUAGUCGAUUGUUCUUAUGUUUAUACUUAACCCUUGAUUCCAAUUUUCUGUUUUCCUUCCUCAUUCUCCUCUUCACUUAAUCUGCAUUUAAUCUAUUGCAAGACAGGCCUACAAGUCCGUAAUCGAAUCAUUCAGUGCAAAUUUUGCAGGUAAUUUAAUUCCAGAAACACGAAGCUGAUCACAGAAUUGAAUUUUGGUAUGGUUUCAUUGUUCAUGUUGAAAUUAAUGACUGGUACAUACCUUUUGUUGUUUAAGUAUGCUCCUACUUUAUCAACUGAAUUCAAUUAAUUCCUUCA
Musa acuminata AAA Group (dessert banana) is the source of this 1310-nucleotide long non-coding RNA. RefSeq lists it as uncharacterized. Lineage: Eukaryota; Viridiplantae; Streptophyta; Magnoliopsida; Zingiberales; Musaceae. The record is from RefSeq and is a predicted model, not a curated record. The transcript is spliced from 2 exons.